RNAcentral lists this ribosomal RNA (1431 nucleotides) under uncultured organism. RNAcentral describes it as "16S ribosomal RNA". It matches the Rfam family "Bacterial small subunit ribosomal RNA". The record is from RNAcentral.
AGGACGAACGCUGGCGGCGUGCUUAACACAUGCAAGUCGAACGGAAAGGCCCUGCUUUUGUGGGGUGCUCGAGUGACGAACGGGUGAGUAACACGUGAGUAACCUGCCCUUGACUUUGGGAUAACUUCAGGAAACUGGGGCUAAUACCGGAUAGGAGCUCCUGCUGCAUGGUGGGGGUUGGAAAGUUUCGGCGGUUGGGGAUGGACUCGCGGCUUAUCAGCUUGUUGGUGGGGUAGUGGCUUACCAAGGCUUUGACGGGUAGCCGGCCUGAGAGGGUGACCGGCCACAUUGGGACUGAGAUACGGCCCAGACUCCUACGGGAGGCAGCAGUGGGGAAUAUUGCACAAUGGGCGGAAGCCUGAUGCAGCAACGCCGCGUGCGGGAUGACGGCCUUCGGGUUGUAAACCGCUUUCGCCUGUGACGAAGCGUGAGUGACGGUAAUGGGUAAAGAAGCACCGGCUAACUACGUGCCAGCAGCCGCGGUGAUACGUAAGGUGCGAGCGUUGUCCGGAUUUAUUGGGCGUAAAGGGCUCGUAGGUGGUUGAUCGCGUCGGAAGUGUAAUCUUGCGGCUUAACCCUGAGCGUGCUUUCGAUACGGGUUGACUUGAGGAAGGUAGGGGAGAAUGGAAUUCCUGGUGGAGCGGUGGAAUGCGCAGAUAUCAGGAGGAACACCAGUGGCGAAGGCGGUUCUCUGGGCCUUUCCUGACGCUGAGGAGCGAAAGCGUGGGGAGCGAACAGGCUUAGAUACCCUGGUAGUCCACGCUGUAAGCGGUGGGUACUAGGUGUGGGGUCCAUUCCACGGGUUCCGUGCCGUAGCUAACGCUUUAAGUACCCCGCCUGGGGAGUACGGCCGCAAGGCUAAAACUCAAAGGAAUUGACGGGGCCCCGCACAAGCGGCGGAGCAUGCGGAUUAAUUCGAUGCAACGCGUAGAACCUUACCUGGGUUUGACAUGGAUCGGGAGUGCUCAGAGAUGGGUGUGCCUCUUUUGGGGUCGGUUCACAGGUGGUGCAUGGCUGUCGUCAGCUCGUGUCGUGAGAUGUUGGGUUAAGUCCCGCAACGAGCGCAACCCUUGUUCACUGUUGCCAGCACGUUAUGGUGGGGACUCAGUGGAGACCGCCGGGGUCAACUCGGAGGAAGGUGGGGAUGACGUCAAGUCAUCAUGCCCCCUAUGUCCAGGGCUUCACGCAUGCUACAAUGGCUGGUACAGAGAGUGGCGAGCCUGUGAGGGUGAGCGAAUCCCGGAAAGCCGGUCUCAGUUCGGAUUGGGGUCUGCAACUCGACCUCAUGAAGUCGGAGUCGCUAGUAAUCGCAGAUCAGCAACGCUGCGGUGAAUACGUUCCCGGGGCUUGUACACACCGCCCGUCAAGUCAUGAAAGUUGGUAACACCCGAAGCCGGAGGCCUAACCGUUGUGGGGGAGCCGUCGAAGGUG